Molecule: transfer RNA, 17 nt
Filed under: Lucasium stenodactylus (pale-snouted ground gecko)
Lineage: Eukaryota; Metazoa; Chordata; Lepidosauria; Squamata; Diplodactylidae
Description: partial tRNA-Met
Source: RNAcentral
AAACCCUUCCUAUACUA